GGGGAUGAUUUAGGACUCGACGGGAUUCUUGAAACCCAAGGUGCAUGCCGAGGUGGCGGUUGGCCUCGUAAAAAGCCGCCAACGUUAUAGUUGCAAACGACUCUAACUACUCUCUAGCAGCUUAGGCUAGCUAGCCUUCCACCCACGUUUCUCCUAUGGGCAGGGAUUCGGAAGGUCAUUCACAUUGGAUAGCGAGGGAACCUUGUUCGAGGGUGAACCGCGAAAUAGUAUCGGACUCGCUUUUUGAUAUCCUGUCAGUUGGAGAUCAACGAGUUAACCAAAUAACUGACUAAGCAUGUAGUGCCGAGGAUGUAGGUUUUUCGGACGGGGGUUCGACUCCCCCCAUCUCCACCA
Molecule: non-coding RNA, 354 nt
Organism: Psychromonas ingrahamii 37
Lineage: Bacteria; Pseudomonadati; Pseudomonadota; Gammaproteobacteria; Alteromonadales; Psychromonadaceae
Rfam family: transfer-messenger RNA
About the family: Bacterial tmRNA, also known as 10Sa RNA or SsrA, is named for its dual tRNA and mRNA-like properties. Its role is to liberate the mRNA from a stalled ribosome.
Source: Rfam